This is a long non-coding RNA of Nyctereutes procyonoides (raccoon dog), 219 nucleotides long. RefSeq lists it as uncharacterized. The transcript is spliced from 2 exons. The record is from RefSeq and is a predicted model, not a curated record. Lineage: Eukaryota; Metazoa; Chordata; Mammalia; Carnivora; Canidae.
AAGUUUCUACUGAAUGGAUCUUACAACCAUACACAAUGAGGACACGUUUUUGGUUGUGCUUGAGAAUGGUCUGAUCAGCAGGGAGAAAAACUCUUCCAUGCUGCAAGUGGAGCUACUGAGAACUCUCUCCUGAAGUGCCUGGAACUCCCUACUCAUGAACCCUGGCAACCAUCAUCCCUACUUUUUGCUUCUAUGAAUGGACUACUCCAGGUACUUCAU